GUUUGGAUUAGUAAAUUAUAUAGCCUAUGACAAAUUUUUGCUCAGAGAAAUCAUUCAUUCUACUUUUCAAGCAUUAUACAGCACAGGCAUAUAAGGAGUUCCCACAACUAGUCUUUGAUAUCCUUAAAUCUAUGAAGAGAUCUAUCUAUAUAUCCACCAAAUAUAGCUAAACUAAAUGGUAAUUUCAUGGAAAGGAACCUCAAAGCACAGAGGGGGCAAACACACACACACGCACUCAAAGAAUGCCCAUCUGCAUAUUCAAUCAGGCUUCCUAUUAACUCAUUGAAGGAGUACACAAAGUAAUAAAAUAUGCAUAAUUUAAAUUAAAAUGCAUAGCUAAACCAUUUUGAAUAUAACAUAGGAACA
Molecule: long non-coding RNA, 366 nt
Filed under: Elaeis guineensis (African oil palm)
Lineage: Eukaryota; Viridiplantae; Streptophyta; Magnoliopsida; Arecales; Arecaceae
Description: long non-coding RNA (EGUI_LNC013799)
Source: RNAcentral